Molecule: ribosomal RNA, 671 nt
Filed under: marine metagenome
Description: bacterial SSU rRNA
Rfam family: Archaeal small subunit ribosomal RNA
Source: RNAcentral
UAAAUGAUGUGGACUAGGUGUUGCAUUCCCCUUGUGGGAAUGCAGUGCCGAAGGGAAGCCGUUAAGUUCACCACCUGGGAAGUACGGUCGCAAGGCCGAAACUUAAAGGAAUUGACGGGGGAGCACAACAAGGGGUGGAGUCUGCGGUUUAAUUGGAUUAAACGCCGGAAAUCUCACCGGGAGCGACAACAGUAUGAAGGUCAGGCUGACGGUCUUACUCGACUCGUUGAGAGGUGGUGCAUGGCCGCCGUCAGUUCGUGCCGUAAGGUGUUCUGUUAAGUCAGACAACGAACAAGACCCACGCUGCUAGUUGCUAGUCAUCCUUUCGAGGGUGAUGCACUCUAGCGGGACCGCUGGUGAUAAAUCAGAGGAAGGGGUGGGCAACGGUAGGUCAGUAUGCCCCGAAUCUCUUGGGCUACACGCGAGCUACAGUGACUGGAACAAUGAGCUGCGACGCCGAAAGGCGAAGCCAAUCCCUAAAUCCAGCCUAGGUUCGGAUCGAGGGCUGUAACUUGCCCUCGUGAAGCCGGAAUCCCUAGUAAUCAAAGUUCAUUAUGCUUUGGUGAAUAUGUCCCUGCUCCUUGUACACACCGCCCGUCAAAUCACCUGAGUUGGGCCUGGAUGAGGCAUUAUCUUUUGGUAGUGUCGAAUCUGAGCUCAGCAAGGGGGGU